CUCGCUUUUCACUUUCAUUUUAUCUCAAAUAAUGAAAGUUUCCAUCCUUCUCUUAUAUUAUCUCAAAUAAUUCUACCAGAGAUCCGAAUUCCAUCUUUCUCUAUAAUCAUCUUCCAAAAUAUAUGAAUGAGUUUCCAUGUUUAAUGAUGAUUGGUUCCAUAAACCCUAGAUCUAUAAAUCCAUACGUAUUCUGCCGUUUCUUCACAUCGAUUCGGUUGUUAAUCGAUUUAUCAAUCAUCCUCUGUUUCUUCACAUCGAUUUGGCUGUCAAUCGAUUUGUCAAGCAUUAUUUAAGGUACCGUUCAUGUGAUGGCAAGACGGACUUCAAAUUGUACCCGCUUAAACCAUGAGUGAAGUGAUUACUGAUUAUUGCAGUUGUUGGUCUUGCCUUGAAGUCGAGGUAUGUUUCUAGAAUAUAUGUCCAGUGUUUAGUAGAGGUGGCGAAGUAGUAUGUUCAGUAGAGGUGGCGAAAUAGUUGGUAGUCGUGUUGGGUGACAUGUUUUGAAAGCUUUUUAAAACCUGUUGGAUGCACUUAGUGGUGACCUUUACACGCAUAUGACACCACAAAGGGGCGUUCUUUUAAAAAUAACUGGUGGUCAUGUCACGCAUUGCGCAUUGGCUUUUGGGAUCAAAACGCAUCCAAGCGCAUCACACAUUUAAAAAACAAGCUGCUUGAUUCAGUUAUUUUUCUGUUUAUUAUUUUACUUGCAUACAUUUAUAAUUAAGUCGCGCAAAGACCUCUAUUCUCAUGACUUAUUUUUUUACUUGCAUACAUUUAUUAUUUUACUUGCAUACAUUUAUAAUUAAAUCGGUAUUUUAUUAAUACUGUACCGAACCGAAAGUACCGGUACGGAAAAAGUAGGUACCAAAAAAUAUUUUCAAUACUGAAAAAAUUCGGUAUCGGUACCAAGUACCAAAUGUUUAUCCCUAAUCAUACGUUUCUGGAAUGGACCUGGUGGUCUGUGGUGAUUAUGAAGUUUGGGAAUUUGUACUACUUAACGGACGAAUGGACCAAAGGAAAAGAUCUUUGUCUAACCUUUGGACAUUUUCUUUUGUUUGGAAAGGUUGAUGACUAUCUUUUUACUUUUUACCAUAUCACUUCUACAUCCUGAUGGUCUACAACUUUGUGAGCCAGAAAAGCCAGUUAAUGAAGAUGAUAGAAGAUCAUUUCCAAAGUUGAGGUUAUUGAAAUUAAAAAGUGAUUCUUCUUUAAAUAUUGAAGAUGAUAAAGAUCAAUCCGGGCACCAUGUAGUUGAAAUUGGAAGUCAUACUUUUGUCCUACAGCUUUAGAAGUUUAUUACUUUGGCUUGAUUGGAUAAAGUCGAGCAACUCAAGUGAAGAUUUUCGAUGCAUCAAUUGCGAAAAUACAAAUGCGAGUGGAACGAUCUGAAGGUAAGAACUAAGAAGAGGUAUGCUCUGAGAGGAUGGGAGAAGUUCAUGAAAGAAAUUGGAUUAACAAGUGGUUAAGGAUAUAAGGAUGAAAAAGUAUGUUACUAAUUUCAAAUGCUUAGGUUUGUGAUAUUGAUCUUAUGGGCUGUUUAGGAAAAAAAUGAUUUUUUGAGGAUGUUUAGCUUCUGAACUAAUCAUGUUUAAGAUAAAUGUGUUUUGCUAUGAAAA
Molecule: long non-coding RNA, 1616 nt
Organism: Helianthus annuus (common sunflower)
Lineage: Eukaryota; Viridiplantae; Streptophyta; Magnoliopsida; Asterales; Asteraceae
Exons: 4
Source: RefSeq, a predicted model, not a curated record